AUUUCACACAGACCCAUCUCAAAGGCAAUAUAGAGGCUGGAGUUGACAAAAAAGUCAGCAGUAUCAUUGUUUCCAGCCUGCAGCAUUUGUUAAUGUCCUCGUGGGAAGUGACUUGAACAUCUUCAAAACCACCUGGACCUCCUCUUACUGGUGUCACAAGCUGGCGUCCAUAGGCCUGCAAAAGCUGUCAGUUUUGAGGCUGAGAAGGGGAGCUGAUGUGAGCAAGAGGAUGAAGAUGCUGCCUCCCCGCCCCCCAUGGUGGCAGGUGACAGAAAUUGUUGCAUAAAUGACCAGAAAAUGAGCUGAGGUCACAUGGUCUGCUGAAGGUUUUUACAGCACCUCAGACACAGAGCUCCUCGCAUUACUCCUGGUGUGUCAGUAUUGGCUCAUCUCACAGAGCCUGAAGCUGAAGUUCAUUUCCAAUUUCCUAAACUGUCUCGCCUCCAGCAGCAGAAUCUGUUCAUUUCAGCUUUAGGAUUAGUAAUAGUGGGUUUUACAACCCCAGGGUCCUAAAUGCAUCUGUAAUAGAUGGUCCAACAGGCAAGAAGCACGAACUGGCACCAUCACAAGGCCACAGGAGCCACAGCAGGAAGGGGGCCCCCCAGGCACUACAUAGCCAUGGGGAGGAACCCAGUACCACAAGGAUAAUUAACUCUGCCUGCAGAAGCCAGCCGUGGUAUAAACCAGUGGUUGUCAAACUGUGCUCCCCAGAGGUUCCAUGACAGAGUUGGAGAACAAGGAGAGGUGGGCACUGGACCUUCUCCUAUUCAAACAGAGCAGCUCUGAAGUUCUACGCUUCAUAGAAGCUUUUCCUUGGAAGAAGGGCAUCUGUGGUCCCCAACAUGCAAACCCAGCAGUGAACUUGGAAGGGCUCCAUCUUGGAAGGCAGGGCCUGGCUCUGUGGCCUUUGGCACAACAUUGACCUUGAAGACUCCCUGCCAUGGCUAGAAUUGAAAGCUUUAGAC
This is a long non-coding RNA of Bos taurus (domestic cattle), 965 nucleotides long. The record is from Ensembl. Lineage: Eukaryota; Metazoa; Chordata; Mammalia; Artiodactyla; Bovidae.